This 1739-nucleotide ribosomal RNA is filed under the name Candidatus Daviesbacteria bacterium. Its description in RNAcentral is "partial 23S ribosomal RNA". It matches the Rfam family "Bacterial large subunit ribosomal RNA", at positions 1 to 1274 of the family's 2925-position model. Lineage: Bacteria; Candidatus Daviesiibacteriota. The record is from RNAcentral.
AAUACUCAACAAAAAAGCAUACGGUGGAUGCCUAGGUCAAAAGUACCGACGAAGGACGUACCAAGCAACGAUAUUCUCUGGGGAGCUGCUAAGAAGCUUUGAUCCAGAGGUUUCCGAAUGGGACAACCCACUUGUGCAUGGCACAAGGGAAAUUACUAAUGAAUUUUAAAAUUCAAAAUUCAAAUUUUAAAGGAAAUUCAAAAUUAAAAUGUUUAAAAAUUUAAAAUUUAGAUUUGAUUUAAAAUUAAAAAUUAAAAAUUUAAAAUUUUUUAAGGUAGUUUUUCUCGUGCUGUGCAUGAGUACCCCGUCAUAAAUACAUAGUGGCGGGGAGGGUACGCGCUGAACUGAAACAUCUAAUUAAGCGCAGGAAAAUAAAUCAAUCGAGAUUUCCCCAGUAGCGGCGAGCGAAAAGGAAACAGCCUAAACCUUGUCCUUCGGACAAGGAAAUUCGAAGCACGAAUAUCGAAAUCCUAAACAAUGUUCAAAAUUCAAAUGUCUUAAAUUCAAAAAGUUUUGGAUUUAUAAUUUUGAAAAUUUGUAUUUGUUUCGAAUUUCGGAUUUAGAAUUUCGGAUUUUCUUACCCGGAGGGUAAGGUGUUGUGGGGUCUACGAUAUAGCAUCAGUUUUAGAUAGUUGAAUACUCUGGAAAGAGUGGUCAAAGAAGGUGAUAACCCUGUAAACGAAAUUUAAAACUGGCUUAGUAGAUACCCGAGUAACCCGGGACACGUGAAAUCCCGGGCGAAUCUGGGGCGACCGCGCUCUAAGGCUAAAUAUACUUUUGGACCGAUAGUGAACUAGUACCGUGAGGGAAAGGUGAAAAGAAGAGCGAAACGCUCAGUGAAAUAGUACCUGAAACCGUAUGUUGUCAAGCUGUGGAAGUGGGGACUAGACAGUGGACGAUAGAUGAUGGAAAGUGGAAGAUAGUUUUUUGAGGAUAGAAGAUUGAAAAUAGAUUCAGUUUCUAACCUCUAUAUUCCAUCUUCAAAACACUACCAUCUAUAUUCUAUUUUCUACCGUCUAGUCUCUACAACCGCGUGCUUAUUGAAGAAUGAACCGGUGAGUUAAUUUAUACUCCAAGUCUAAGUGCUGAAUGGCAAAUAGGCGUAGUGAAAGCGAGCCUGAAAGGGCGUUUACCCUGAGAGCAAUCGAAGGGACCAAGGAGUGUGAAUUAGACCCGAAACCGAGUGAGCUAAUCAUGUCCAGGGUGAACCCCGCCGAAAGGCGGGGGGAGGCCCGAACCAGUGGCAGUAGCAAUUGCUUUGGAUGAGAUGUGAUUAGGGGUGAUAUGCCUAUCGAACUCGGAGAUAGCUGGUUCUCCCCGAAAUAUAUCUAGGUAUAGCCUUGGAAAAAAUUCAACGAGGGGUAGAGCUCUGGAUGGUCCGCCAAGCGAAAGUGAGGCGGACCAAUCAAACUCCAAAUACUCGUUGUGUAUCCAGGAGUCAGUCCGAUCCGGCUAAGCGGAGCGGGCCUAAGGGAAACAUCCCAGAUCAACAGCUAAGGUCCCUAAAUGCAAGUUAAGUGUUAAAGGAAGUCUAGUUCCUUAGACAGCCAGGAAGUUGGCUUAGAAGCAGCCACCUUUUAAAGAUAGCGUAACAGCUCACUGGUCUACUAUGGAGUGUGGCGCCGACAAUUAAUCGGGGCUAAACUUGCUACCGAAGCUUUGGAUGUCAUUCCGAUUUAUCGGGGUGGCGUGGUAGAGGAGCGUUCUAUAUGGAGUGAAUGGUAGCCGUGAGGCGACCU